GCCGUGUGACAGAAUAGGGAUUUAAAAUCCCUCGGCGUUCGCGCUGUGCCGGUUCAAGUCCGGCCCGGGGCACCA
RNAcentral lists this transfer RNA (75 nucleotides) under Vibrio alginolyticus. RNAcentral's name for it is "tRNA-OTHER". Lineage: Bacteria; Pseudomonadati; Pseudomonadota; Gammaproteobacteria; Vibrionales; Vibrionaceae. RNAcentral also lists the same sequence under 4 other names. The record is from RNAcentral.